CACGUAGGGGGCAAGCGUUGUCCGGAUUUAUUGGGCGUAAAGAGCUCGUAGGUGGUUCGGUAAGUCAGGUGUGAAACCUCCAGGCUCAACCUGGAGACGCCACUUGAUACUGCUGUGACUGGAGUCCGGUAGGGGAGCGUGGAAUUCCUGGUGUAGCGGUGAAAUGCGCAGAUAUCAGGAGGAACACCAGCGGCGAAGGCGGCGCUCUGGGCCGGAACUGACGCUGAGGAGCGAAAGCGUGGGUAGCAAACAGG
This 254-nucleotide ribosomal RNA is filed under the name uncultured bacterium. RNAcentral's name for it is "partial 16S ribosomal RNA". It matches the Rfam family "Bacterial small subunit ribosomal RNA", at positions 524 to 776 of the family's 1533-position model. The record is from RNAcentral.